Saccostrea cuccullata (small rock oyster) is the source of this 950-nucleotide long non-coding RNA. RefSeq lists it as uncharacterized. The record is from RefSeq and is a predicted model, not a curated record. The transcript is spliced from 3 exons. Lineage: Eukaryota; Metazoa; Mollusca; Bivalvia; Ostreida; Ostreidae.
ACACAUGUUUGUCAUGGUUUACAAACUGAAAAUAGAAUGAUUUGUGAAGUUGAACAUUUUCUCACAAAGAAUCCGUUUGUAGACAUGCACACUCAUUUAAUCUGGAGCUACGAAGAUUCAAGUACUUUGUCACUUCUCUGGAACAUUAUUCUAAGCAGAAUUAUCCCGAUUCAUAUAUUCUAAGAAUCUUGUGUGAAUUGUUUACGAGGAAAUUCUGACUGUCACAUUAACAAGGAUGAACACUCUUGACUCUGCUUCGGAUUCCCCAGUGAUAAUUGUAUCGAGUGAUGAAAGAGCUGACGGCGACAUUUUAAUGUAUGAUUGGCUUGGACCAUUGGAAUGAAGUCAUUUCAUGGUGCCACCACUUGAGAUGGUAUUAGCUGCAAAUAUAGACUUGUACUCAGCACUUAUUGCCUUUAAGGUAUGAGAUCCAUUUUGUGCUAACACCUACCGUGACACAGAAUCUUGGUUUAUGCAGUCUCAUAGGAGUAACCUGUCUAAAGCAUUUAGCAAUGGGAUUGGAACCUGCGACGUGUGACUCAUCUGAAGACUGAAUUUUGAUACCAAGCAUGACCAUGAUUUGCCAGAAGAUCAUCUGUUUGGAUGUGACAUGGAAUAAACAGCAUUGUGAAAAUAAGUCAAGUUUUGGUUUGUGAAGACAAUUUUUAAACACACUGUGUAUCAUUUUUAAAUUUUGAUUUGACAACAUAAAUCCCCAAAUAUGAACAUAUCAAUUGCUCUCAGUUUUUCAAGUGAAAUAGUUUUUGUAACAGAAAUACAUGUACCAGUAAUUACAUUGGAAUAAAUGUUAUUUUUAAAUAUAAUAAUAUUUUGUUUGUGUAGCAUGUUGACCUCUUUAUUAAGGUCUUCCCUUUCAAAGUUUAGACUUACUUAUUCUAAUGAUUAAGAUAGAUCCUCUGUCUUCAGCAGGAAUAGAAGAUCUUGUAAUA